CCCCCCGGGCUGGGGCAGCAGGUACGGGGUGUGGGGCUGGGGGGGGACACGGGGACAGCGCCGCUAUGGGGCACGGGAGCUGUGGGGCAGGGAAAGAGUGGGGCACCCAAUCUGUGGGGCAGCCAAUCUGUGGGGCACCAAGCCAUGGGGCACCCAGAUCACAGGGCACCCAAUCUGUGGGGCACGGGAGCUAUGGGGCAGGGAAACCGUGGGGCACAUGUGCUAUGGGGCACGGGAGCUAUGGGGCAGGGAAACCAUGGGGCAAAUGUGCUAUGGGGCACAGGAGCUAUGGGGCAGGGAAAGCGUGGGGCACAUGUGCUGUGGGGCACGGGAGCUGUGGGGCAGGGAAACCAUGGGGCACGGGAGCUAUGGGGCAGGGAAAGCGUGGGGCAGCCAAUCUGUGGGGCACUCACGCUAUGGGGCACCCAGACUGUGGAGCAGCCAAACCAUGGGGCACAUGUGCUGUGGGGCACAGGAGCUAUGGGGCAGGGAAACCAUGGGGCACAUGUGCUGUGGGGCACAGGAGCUGUGGGGCAGCCAAACCAUGGGGCACAUGUGCUAUGGGGCACGGGAGCUAUGGGGCAGGGAAAGCGUGGGGCACACGUGCUGUGGGGCACGGGAGCUAUGGGGCAGCCAAUCUGUGGGGCACGGGAGCUAUGGGGCACAGGAGCUAUGGGGCAGGGAAAGCGUGGGGCAUAUGUGCUGUGGGGCACAGGAGCUAUGGGGCAGGGAAACCAUGGGGCACGGGAGCUAUGGGGCAGGGAAACCAUGGGGCACAUGUGCUAUGGGGCAGGGAGCUAUGGGGCAGGGAAACCAUGGGGCACCCAAUCUGUGGGGCACCCACGCUAUGGGGCACCCAGACUGUGGGGCAGGGAAACCAUGGGGUACAUGUGCUGUGGGGCAUGGGAGCUAUGGGGCAGGGAAACCGUGGGGCACAUGUGCUGUGGGGCACGGGAGCUAUGGGGCACGGGAGCUAUGGGGCACAGGAGCUAUGGGGCAGGGAAAGCAUGGGGCACAUGUGCUGUGGGGCACGGGAGCUAUGGGGCACCUGCACCAAUGGGGCAGCCAAUCUGUGGGGCACCCAGACUGUGGGGCAGCCAAGCCAUGGGGCACCAAACCAUGGGGCACCCAAGCCAUGGGGCAUCCAAAGUGUGGGGCACACACGCCAUGGGGCACUCAAAUUGUGGGGCACCCACGCUAUGGGGCAGCCACACCAUGGGGCACCCACGCUAUGGGGCAGGAGAAGGGGCAUCCACCCCCCUGGAGCCAAGCGGGUGCCAAGCCCACCCCCCAACCCCCGACUUGUGGGGUGUGGGGGGGUCAGGGUGCCCCACUGCGGGGUGUGUGGGUCAGAGUGCCCCCGCUGUGGGGUGUGGGGGGGGUCAGGGUGCCCCCCGUGGGGUGUGUGGGUCAGGGUGCCCCACGGUGCCCCCCACGCCCCCCGUCUCUCCCCAGGCCAGCCGAGGCCCC
Molecule: long non-coding RNA, 1470 nt
Filed under: Calidris pugnax (ruff)
Lineage: Eukaryota; Metazoa; Chordata; Aves; Charadriiformes; Scolopacidae
Description: lncRNA (ENSCPUG00000002229.1)
Source: RNAcentral